UACGUAGGGUGCAAGCGUUGUCCGGAAUUACUGGGCGUAAAGAGUUCGUAGGCGGUUUGUUGCGUCGUUUGUGAAAACUCACAGCUCAACUGUGAGCCUGCAGGCGAUACGGUCAGACUUGAGUACUGCAGGGGAGACUGGAAUUCCUGGUGUAGCGGUGAAAUGCGUAGAUAUCGGGAGGAAUACCGAUGGCGAAGGCAGGUCUCUGGGCUGACACUGACGCUCAUGCACGAAAGCGUGGGGAGCAAACAGG
RNAcentral lists this ribosomal RNA (253 nucleotides) under uncultured bacterium. RNAcentral describes it as "partial 16S ribosomal RNA". It matches the Rfam family "Bacterial small subunit ribosomal RNA", at positions 524 to 776 of the family's 1533-position model. The record is from RNAcentral.